GACGAACGCUGGCGGCGUGCUUAACACAUGCAAGUCGAACGGAAAGGCCCUGCUUUUGUGGGGUGCUCGAGUGGCGAACGGGUGAGUAACACGUGAGUAACCUGCCCUUGACUUUGGGAUAACUUCAGGAAACUGGGGCUAAUACCGGAUAGGAGCUCCUGCUGCAUGGUGGGGGUUGGAAAGUUUCGGCGGUUGGGGAUGGACUCGCGGCUUAUCAGCUUGUUGGUGGGGUAGUGGCUUACCAAGGCUUUGACGGGUAGCCGGCCUGAGAGGGUGACCGGCCACAUUGGGACUGAGAUACGGCCCAGACUCCUACGGGAGGCAGCAGUGGGGAAUAUUGCACAAUGGGCGGAAGCCUGAUGCAGCAACGCCGCGUGCGGGAUGACGGCCUUCGGGUUGUAAACCGCUUUCGCCUGUGACGAAGCGUGAGUGACGGUAAUGGGUAAAGAAGCACCGGCUAACUACGUGCCAGCAGCCGCGGUGAUACGUAGGGUGCGAGCGUUGUCCGGAUUUAUUGGGCGUAAAGGGCUCGUAGGUGGUUGAUCGCGUCGGAAGUGUAAUCUUGGGGCUUAACCCUGAGCGUGCUUUCGAUACGGGUUGACUUGAGGAAGGUAGGGGAGAAUGGAAUUCCUGGUGGAGCGGUGGAAUGCGCAGAUAUCAGGAGGAACACCAGUGGCGAAGGCGGUUCUCUGGGCCUUUCCUGACGCUGAGGAGCGAAAGCGUGGGGAGCGAACAGGCUUAGAUACCCUGGUAGUCCACGCUGUAAACGGUGGGUACUAGGUGUGGGGUCCAUUCCACGGGUUCCGUGCCGUAGCUAACGCUUUAAGUACCCCGCCUGGGGAGUACGGCCGCAAGGCUAAAACUCAAAGGAAUUGACGGGGCCCCGCACAAGCGGCGGAGCAUGCGGAUUAAUUCGAUGCAACGCGUAGAACCUUACCUGGGUUUGACAUGGAUCGGGAGUGCUCAGAGAUGGGUGUGCCUCUUUUGGGGUCGGUUCACAGGUGGUGCAUGGCUGUCGUCAGCUCGUGUCGUGAGAUGUUGGGUUAAGUCCCGCAACGAGCGCAACCCUUGUUCACUGUUGCCAGCACGUUAUGGUGGGGACUCAGUGGAGACCGCCGGGGUCAACUCGGAGGAAGGUGGGGAUGACGUCAAGUCAUCAUGCCCCUUAUGUCCAGGGCUUCACGCAUGCUACAAUGGCUGGUACAGAGAGUGGCGAGCCUGCGAGGGUGAGCGAAUCUCGGAAAGCCGGUCUCAGUUCGGAUUGGGGUCUGCAACUCGACCUCAUGAAGUCGGAGUCGCUAGUAAUCGCAGAUCAGCAACGCUGCGGUGAAUACGUUCCCGGGGCU
RNAcentral lists this ribosomal RNA (1346 nucleotides) under uncultured bacterium. Its description in RNAcentral is "partial 16S ribosomal RNA". It matches the Rfam family "Bacterial small subunit ribosomal RNA", at positions 28 to 1381 of the family's 1533-position model. The record is from RNAcentral.